GACGAACGCUGGCGGCGCGCCUAACACAUGCAAGUCGAACGGAGUCACGAGGAGCUUGCUUUUCUUGACUUAGUGGCGAACGGGUGAGUAACGCGUGAGUAACCUGCCCUGGAGUGGGGGACAACAGUUGGAAACGACUGCUAAUACCGCAUAAGCCCACGGAUCCGCAUGGAUCUGCGGGAAAAGGAUUUAUUCGCUUCAGGAUGGACUCGCGUCCAAUUAGCUAGUUGGUGAGGUAACGGCCCACCAAGGCGACGAUUGGUAGCCGGGCUGAGAGGUUGAACGGCCACAUUGGGACUGAGACACGGCCCAGACUCCUACGGGAGGCAGCAGUGGGGGAUAUUGCACAAUGGGGGAAACCCUGAUGCAGCGACGCCGCGUGGAGGAAGAAGGUUUUCGGAUUGUAAACUCCUGUCGUUAGGGACGAUAAUGACGGUACCUAACAAGAAAGCACCGGCUAACUACGUG
This 468-nucleotide ribosomal RNA is filed under the name uncultured bacterium. Its description in RNAcentral is "partial 16S ribosomal RNA". It matches the Rfam family "Bacterial small subunit ribosomal RNA", at positions 28 to 507 of the family's 1533-position model. The record is from RNAcentral.